AACGAACGCUGGUGGCGUGCUUAACACAUGCAGGUCGAACGAGAAAGUUUCUUUCGGGAAAUUAGUAAAGUGGCGCAAGGGUGAGUAUCACGUGAAUAAUCUGCCCUUGAGAUCGGGAUAACAUGGUGAAAACUAUGCUAAUACCGGAUAAGACCACAUUUCAUAAGAAAUGCGGUAAAAGGAGUCUCAAUCUUCACUCGAGGAUGAGUUCGCGCAACAUUAGCUUGUUGGUGAGAUAAAAGCUCACCAAGGCUACGAUGUUUAGCCGGCCUGAGAGGGUGAUCGGCCACAUUGGAACUGAGACACGGUCCAGAUUUUUAUGGGAGGCAGCAGUGGGGAAUAUUGCGCAAUGGGCGAAAGCCUGAUGCAGCAACGUUGUGUGAGCGAUG
RNAcentral lists this ribosomal RNA (389 nucleotides) under uncultured Nitrospina sp. RNAcentral describes it as "bacterial SSU rRNA". It matches the Rfam family "Bacterial small subunit ribosomal RNA", at positions 29 to 410 of the family's 1533-position model. Lineage: Bacteria; Pseudomonadati; Nitrospinota; Nitrospinia; Nitrospinales; Nitrospinaceae. The record is from RNAcentral.